RNAcentral lists this ribosomal RNA (449 nucleotides) under uncultured bacterium. RNAcentral describes it as "partial 16S ribosomal RNA". It matches the Rfam family "Bacterial small subunit ribosomal RNA", at positions 29 to 523 of the family's 1533-position model. The record is from RNAcentral.
AACGAACGCUGGCGGCAGGCUUAACACAUGCAAGUCGAACGGUACAGCAAUGUACAGUGGCGCACGGGUGAGUAACGCGUGGGAAUAUGCCCUUUAGUACGGAAUAGCCUCGGGAAACUGGGCUUAAUACCGUAUACGCCCUUCGGGGGAAAGAUUUAUCGCUAAAGGAUUAGCCCGCGUGAGAUUAGGUAGUUGGUGGGGUAAUGGCCUACCAAGCCUACGAUCUCUAGCUGGUCUGAGAGGAUGAUCAGCCACACUGGAACUGAGACACGGUCCAGACUCCUACGGGAGGCAGCAGUGGGGAAUAUUGGGCAAUGGACGAAAGUCUGACCCAGCCAUGCCGCGUGAGUGAUGAAGGCCUUAGGGUUGUAAAGCUCUUUCGUUGGUGACGAUAAUGACGGUAACCAAAGAAGAAGCCCCGGCUAACUUCGUGCCAGCCGCCGCCGUAA